RNAcentral lists this transfer RNA (73 nucleotides) under Cordylochernes scorpioides. RNAcentral's name for it is "tRNA-Thr". The record is from RNAcentral. Lineage: Eukaryota; Metazoa; Arthropoda; Arachnida; Pseudoscorpiones; Chernetidae.
GUCCAGGGAUGGGAAACGAACCCACAGUGUUCCGCUUACCGGGCAGAUGCCAUGUCCACUAGUCAACCCUGGA